RNAcentral lists this ribosomal RNA (450 nucleotides) under Triticum aestivum (bread wheat). RNAcentral describes it as "partial small subunit ribosomal RNA". The record is from RNAcentral. Lineage: Eukaryota; Viridiplantae; Streptophyta; Magnoliopsida; Poales; Poaceae.
AUGGACAUGGGCGACCACCAGGAGGGGGGUUCCGACAGCCAGCAGCAGCUGCAGGAGCGCCGGAAGCGCCAACGCCGGCACACGCCGGAGCAGAUUCGAAAGCUGGAGGAGUCGUUCCAGAAGUGCGGCUACCCCGACGAGGCCCAGAGCGCUCAGCUUGGACGCGAGCUUGGCCUGGAGAACAAGCAGAUCAGGUCCUGGUUCCAGAACCACCGUACACAGAUGAAGGUUGAGUACGAGCGGGCGGAGAACCUCUUCCUCCGCGAGGAGAACACAAGGCUCCUGUCCGAGAACAUGGUCAUGCGGGAGGUGCUCAAGAACUUCAUCUGCCUCAAUCCCAACUGCAUCGCCAAGCACUACAUCGACCAGCAGGAGGAGCUCGAUAAGGAGAACGCUCGCCUCAAGGCGGGGUCCCUCCUCUGCGCCACAUCUUUCCAAGAUGAGCUCUAG